This 46-nucleotide non-coding RNA is filed under the name Schistosoma mansoni. Lineage: Eukaryota; Metazoa; Platyhelminthes; Trematoda; Strigeidida; Schistosomatidae. The record is from RNAcentral.
GGCUGGCUGAGGAGUCCCAUAAUAGAACGAAACGGCAGUCCAGUGC